Molecule: ribosomal RNA, 469 nt
Filed under: uncultured bacterium
Lineage: Bacteria
Description: bacterial SSU rRNA
Rfam family: Bacterial small subunit ribosomal RNA
Source: RNAcentral
GAUGAACGCUGGCGGCGUGCCUAACACAUGCAAGUCGAACGUGAGAAGGUAGCAAUAUCUUUGAAAGUGGCGCACGGGUGAGUAAUACGUAGGUGACCUGCCCUGGAGUGGGGGAUAACAACUGGAAACGGUUGCUAAUACCGCAUAAAACGAGGAUGCUGGGAAGCAUUCUGGUAAAAACUCUGGUGCUUCAGGAGGGGCCUGCGGCCGAUUAGCUAGUUGGCGGGGGUAAGAGCCCACCAAGGCAGUGAUCGGUAGCUGGUCUGAGAGGACGAUCAGCCACACGGGAACUGUGACACGGUCCCGACUCCUACGGGGGGCAGCAGUGAGGAAUAUUGGGCAAUGGGCGGAAGCCUGACCCAGCAACGCCGCGUGGAGGAAGACGGCCUUCGGGUUGUAACUCCUUUACGGGGUAAGAGGAAGGACGGUACCCGAGAAUAAGUCACGGCUAACUACGUGCCAGCAGCCG